UACAGAGGGUGCGAGCGUUAAUCGGAAUUACUGGGCGUAAAGCGCGCGUAGGCGGCUUUUCAAGUCGAUUGUGAAAUCCCCGGGCUUAACCUGGGAACUGCAGUCGAGACUGUCUAGCUAGAGUAUGGGAGAGGGAAGUGGAAUUUCAGGUGCAGCGGUGAAAUGCGUAGAUAUCUGAAGGAACAUCAGUGGCGAAGGCGGCUGCCUGGCCCAAUACUGACACUCAGGUGCGACAGCGUGGGGAGUAAACAGG
RNAcentral lists this ribosomal RNA (253 nucleotides) under uncultured bacterium. RNAcentral describes it as "partial 16S ribosomal RNA". It matches the Rfam family "Bacterial small subunit ribosomal RNA", at positions 524 to 776 of the family's 1533-position model. The record is from RNAcentral.